AAAGGGUGCGUAGGCGGCCUGUUAAGUCAGGGGUGAAAGACGGUAGCUCAACUAUCGCAGUGCCCUUGAUACUGAUGGGCUUGAAUUGACUAGAGGUAGGCGGAAUGUGACAAGUAGCGGUGAAAUGCAUAGAUACCAGGAGGAAUACCGAUUGCGAAGGCAGUCUGCUGCAGUCACACUGACGCUGAGGCUCGAAGGUGCGGGGAUCAAACAGGAUUAGAUACCCCUGU
RNAcentral lists this ribosomal RNA (230 nucleotides) under uncultured bacterium. Its description in RNAcentral is "partial 16S ribosomal RNA". It matches the Rfam family "Bacterial small subunit ribosomal RNA", at positions 562 to 791 of the family's 1533-position model. The record is from RNAcentral.